AUUGAACGCUGGCGGAAUGCUUUACACAUGCAAGUCGAACGGCAGCACGGACUUCGGUCUGGUGGCGAGUGGUGAACGGGUGAGUAAUGUAUCGGAACGUGCCCAGUCGUGGGGGAUAACGUAGUGAAAAUUACGCUAAUACCGCAUACGAUCUAUGGAUGAAAGCGGGGGAUCGCAAGACCUCGCGCGAUUGGAGCGGCCGAUAUCAGAUUAGGUAGUUGGUGGGGUAAAGGCCCACCAAGUCAACGAUCUGUAGCUGGUCUGAGAGGACGACCAGCCACACUGGAACUGAGACACGGUCCAGACUCCUACGGGAGGCAGCAGUGGGGAAUUUUGGACAAUGGGCGAAAGCCUGAUGCAGCCAUUCCGCGUGCAGGAUGAAGGCCCUCGGGUUGUAAACUGCUUUUGUACAGAACGAAAAGGUUUCUACUAAUACUAGGAGCUCAUGACGGUACUGUAAGAAUAAGCACCGGCUAACUACGUGCCAGCAGCCGCCGUAA
Molecule: ribosomal RNA, 500 nt
Filed under: uncultured bacterium
Lineage: Bacteria
Description: partial 16S ribosomal RNA
Rfam family: Bacterial small subunit ribosomal RNA
Source: RNAcentral